ACGGGUGAGUAACGCGUGAGAAUCUGCCCUUUAGUGAAGAAUACUCCUGAGAAAUUAGGGUUAAUGCUGCAUGUGUCCCUUCGGGGAGAAAGGUGGCUUUAUGCUGCCGCUAAAGGAUGAGCUCGCGUACUAUUAGCUAGUUGGUGGGGUAAAGGCCUACCAAGGCGAUGAUGGUUAACCGGCCUGAGAGGGUGUACGGUCACACUGGAACUGAGACACGGUCCAGACUCCUACGGGAGGCAGCAGGGAGGAAUAUUGCGCAAUGGGCGAAAGCCUGACGCAGCGACGCCGCGUGGGGGAUGAAGGUCUUAGGAUUGUAAACUCCUGUUAAGUGGGAAGAAAGACUUGUUGUUAAUACCAGCAAGUUAUGACAGUACCAUUAAAGAAAGCACUGGCUAACCUCGUGCCAGCAGCCGCGGUAAUACGAGGGGUGCGAGCGUUAUUCGGAUUAAUUGGGCGUAAAGGGUGCGUAGAUGGCUUCUUAAGUUUGUUGUUAAAUUCCCUGGCUUAACCAGGGGCAAGCGAUGAAAACUGAUUAGCUAGAGGGUGGGAGAGAGAAGUGGAAUUCCCGGAGUAGCGGUAA
RNAcentral lists this ribosomal RNA (583 nucleotides) under uncultured bacterium. RNAcentral's name for it is "bacterial SSU rRNA". It matches the Rfam family "Bacterial small subunit ribosomal RNA", at positions 102 to 684 of the family's 1533-position model. The record is from RNAcentral.